Molecule: transfer RNA, 75 nt
Filed under: Clostridiales bacterium
Lineage: Bacteria; Bacillati; Bacillota; Clostridia; Eubacteriales
Description: tRNA-Gln
Rfam family: tRNA
About the family: Transfer RNA (tRNA) molecules are approximately 80 nucleotides in length.
Source: RNAcentral
UGGGCCGUCGCCAAGCGGUAAGGCAACGGACUUUGACUCCGUCACUCGAUGGUUCAAAUCCAUCCGGCCCAACCA